UCACUUGAGGCUCACAACGUUCCCACGGUAACCACUUUUGCCCCCUCCCUCCCCCUCAAAAAACCUGCUGGUUGCUGGCAAAUAUUAAAUCUUUUACCAUCCGCAACACCUUUGACUAGAGUUGGCUCCCCAUGUAAAGGGCUUCCUGUUCAGGCACAGGCCACGCCCAGCACCGUGAGACCCUACUCAGUGGACUGCUGGUUCUAGGGAGGAGAUGGAGAAGUGAGGACGCUAUGGGGGAACCUGACUCCGCCUACAUAUGACUAAUGGGCCGUUUGCAAUGUGCAUGAAAUUACAUUCUGAACAGCCGAGAGCAGCCAACGUGAGGCCUCUGCAGAGAGAAUUUGGCAUCCAUCUAUCACUUCCAUGUGAGACAAUCUGGAGGCUCUUGCAUUAUUCUCUGCUGUAACCAAGAAAACAAACAAAAGCCUUGCGCCGCCUCACUGAGCAACAGUCGGUCACUGGAAAGGAACUAGAACCAAGAGACCAUACCUUACAUUUUGUUCACGUGUUUCUGAAGCCCGGGUGCUCAUCGGGAGUCCACCAUUCGAUUAAAACUUAACCAAGUCAGCUCAGAGGUUGUGUAAUUAAAAGACUCUGCACACAGGCA
This is a long non-coding RNA of Mus musculus (house mouse), 610 nucleotides long. RefSeq annotates it as predicted gene, 40434. The record is from RefSeq and is a predicted model, not a curated record. NCBI's taxonomy places the organism in Eukaryota, Metazoa, Chordata, Mammalia, Rodentia, Muridae. The transcript is spliced from 2 exons.